AAUUUGCUAUAUAUAUAUAUAUAUAUAUAUAUAUAUAUAUAUAUAUAUAUAUAUAUAUAUAUAUAUAUAUAUAUAUAGCUCAAAUUGAGUAAAGAGCGUUUUUUACAACUUACCAGAUUGUCCGACCUCCUCACUCACUUUCUUUCAAGCAAAAUACUUUUUAUUUUGUUUUUUUAAUAAAAGUAGGAAGAUGUGUUGUACAGCUCCGGGUGUCCACAUACCGCGACUGUGAUUUGAUCCCCCAUUGUUGUUUCGUAUUUAAGCCUCUGCUCGCUACACCGUGAUCACGUCACUACUUGAGCAAGCUCCUGAUUGGUUAAGGUGGGGCGAAUCUCCAAAAUGUAGAUAUUUUUUACUUGCGUGAUUUAUGCGAAAUAUGCUUCGUUUACACCAACCGCGUUUCAGGCGUCAAAAUCGUGUCUACCGCGCCUAGUUUGCCGCUUGAACAGUUUGAAUGCAUUCGCGCAUCAAGAGCGAAGCAGACGCGCAAAAAAGCAAACAUUUGACGUGCGUCAAGCAAAAUCCGCUUCUUGUGGGAGGGGCAAGUGCUAUGCGUUUGUCUCAAGCGCGCCGCACAAGCUCUGAAUGCGUGAUUUAUGCGAAUUAUGCUGUGUUUACACCAACCGCGUUUCAGGCGUCAAAAUCCCGUCUAACGCGCCUAGUUUGCCGCUUGAACAGUUUGAAUGCAUUCGCGCGUCAAGAGUGAAGUAGACGCGUGGAUUAAGCAAGCAUUUGACGUGCGUCAGAAGCAAAAUCCGCUUCUUGUGGGAGGGGCAAGUGCUAUGCGUUUGUCUCAAGCGUGCCGCACAAGCCCUGAAAAGUGAAGCCAAAACGUCUCGAUCGCCCCCCAGUGACUGGUCCCAGUAUAGGUCAUAAACCCCGCCUCCCCAUGUUAUUCAAUGGGACUUGAGACCAACUAAAAAAAUUAAUUACACUUCAAUUAUCUUUUUUCUGAAGCUGGUUUCUGUCAUUUAUUGUAGUUUUUAUCACACUGAUGUAAAUUCAAAUGUUUGUCUUUAAAAUAAGUUUGUGUUUAGUUAGUUAUUUAGUGAUAUAAAAACGGUGGUGUCACGUCAUGAUUGACAGCUGUGAUAUCGUGUGAUAUGCGGAUUUUGCGAGAUUGAGGGCGGGGUUUUGAUUUCGCGGCUUCACUUCCUGCACACUACUGUGCAUGACUGGUCCCGAAAUCGCUACUGCGCAGACUCAAGGCCCAAGAUGUCAGCGUCGUAUCGGGACACUGGUGGCUUCACUUUUCACCAAUGGAAGGGAGUGAACAGGCGUCGUCCAUCUUUUUUUACAGCCUAUGGUUUGUCUGUUUGCAGAAUGACUGAUGUUGAUUGUCCAUUUAUUGAAAGAGUUAACGGUUUGUAUUUAGUCACCUUGCUGUAGGGGGAAAAUAAACGGUGUGGGUCGAUAAACGUCACGUGACUCAAAAGACAAAUGUGUAUUUACAACUUACCAGGUUGCCCAAUGUCCUCACUGACAUUCUUCCAAGCGAGGUCCUUUUUAUUCCUGUCUCUAUAUAAUUAAGAACUUGUGUUGUAUAGCUCUGGGUGUCUGCUCAUAGACAAUAUCAAACCUUCAUGCUGAAUGAGUGACUCUGGGCGGGGCUACCUCCACAGCAGCAAGCAGGCUCCUGAUUUAUUUAACACAAAAAAGCGCCAUUUGCACGAACUAGACGUGCGAAUGAGGCGGAAACGCGUCUACCGCACCGCGCUAAACGCCUCAUCCGCGCUGCGGGACCUCCAGACGCGCGUCAACGCAUCUUCACAUUGACUUAACAUUGAAAUCACUCCCGCUUGCUGCCUCUAUGGCGUCUGGUGUAAAUGCAGCAUCACGCGUUAUGCACGUCAGACAUCCGAUACGCUCAAUUUGUGCCGUGUAAUUUGCGCCACUUCAUUCGCAUGAAUCGUGUCUAUAGCUUUUUUGCAUUAACUUAACAUGUAAAUCACUCGCGCUUGACGUUUAAUUUCAUCUGUUAUGAUCGCACCAUAAAAUGUACAAUAUUAUUUUACAUUCAUUGUGUUUUACUUGUUUAGAACAACAUAAUAUGGAUACAUAAAAAUGUCAUUCACAUCAUGGAUGGUUUAAAUGACAUUUUGCUAAAGUCUUCCAGAAACACACACUGGCAGGUGAACUGAAACAGAUUUGGCAAUAUUCUUUCAGUGUUAUUUUGUUUGGUUUCAUUAUGGGAAUCAUUUCAUGUUGCUAUUUUACUGAAAUAAUCAUUCAAUAAUAUGUUGCCAUAUUCAACUUAAGAUGUCCUGGUAAAUGUGCCAAAAGCAAUACUCAGCAGUAAAUGCUCUCUAGAUAGACGAAACCUUUAAGCUGUUGCUUUAUUGUCUGUAAUGGUUAAUGUUAUUGAAUAGAUAGAGAUACCAGACUUUGGUUAUAAGCAGUGCCUGUAUUAUAAUGCAAAGCUUCUUUAGAUAUUUGUUUAUAAUAAUGAAGUCAGAGGAAGGGUGUGAAUGCAGAGCUCCUCAACGCACAAAACAUGAAAUAAUUCAGAUGAAUGUCAACCUGCAUAUACUGAAGGAAUAAUAAUAUUUAAGUAGGAAAAAUUAAAGUAUACUUAACAUUUUAAACCAUUAUUCCUAAAAACAUAUCUACUGUAUAUAUAUAUAUAUAUCCUUUGAUAUUUAAAUGUUACGGCCUUAAUGUGUACUAUGCCAUCCAUUGAAUCACAAAUUUCCUUACUACUUCUUUUAUAUCUUCUGGUUUGAGAUUGUUUAGAAAACAAGAAUGAUACAAGAUUUUUGUAUUGUCAGAACACUGGAAGAACCCUUAUACCUUGAAAACCUCAACAACAAAAAAAGAUAACAAUGUAUUAUUUGAACACUGGUUUGGGUUUUGCUUACAUACUUUAGUGUAAAAGUGACUGUAUGUGUAUGUAUGUAUAAGCUGUGCUGUUACUGUAUAUUUCUACUGUUAUAAAACAGAGGUACUGAGAUGUUGUUUAUGGCUUUUGAAAAGCAUUUAAUGUCUGCCACUAUCAUGUAAGUGCAUGGAUUACUGUACUGUAUGUGUUGUUUCAUAGACCUAUGCAAAGGUUAUUUUCGCUUUAGAAAUCACGCUGAAAGAUAACGAAGGCCGAGUCGUAGCGUUGUUAAGUGCCUUACAAUACAAACCUGUUACUUACAGAAAUAGUUCACCUAGAAAUGUUUAAUUCAUCUUUUAUAUUCAACCUCAUGUGUUGUGUUAGGACUUGCAGAAUGUUAAUAUUGUUGUAAAGUCUAAAAUCCAUGCAAUACUAUUAUAUUGUUAUUUGUUUAAAGUAUACUGGGUAGCAGCAUCACAUGAGGUUGAGAAAAUAAUGACAGGACUGAACUGUUCCUCUAAACGAAGAUGUGUUGGUCAUGUAUAUUUUAGACUUGGACUGUAGUCAAUCCUGGAGUGAAGUACUGUAUAUGGGAUUUUGUAGUUUGGUUGUGUGAUUUCAAGACUUAACAUGUGUUCUUACAGCACAACAAAACAUGCCAGGCUGUCAAGACCAGUGUGUAUUACGCCUACUAGAAACUACUGAAAGUGUAAUGAUAGUGUUGACUACUAAACCAUUGCCAAAUUCUAAGUGAAAGUGUCUGAAUAUGUAGUGAAGCUCUUAUGUAUCUUCUUGUAGAUUUAGGGUAAACGGUCUGUUACUGUAGUUUGUUUCUGAGCAAUAAUUCAGACAAUCAGGUAAGAGGUCAAGCACAAAGCUCCUGUAUGAAUGCGUCUAAAAGCUUCCCUAAAAAACUACAACUGAAUGUCUUUUAAUAACAAAUACAAACUCAUCUGAUGACUUUUAUAAGUGUUGGGUUUCCUUGACUGAUUUUUUUGUUAUACUUUUGUAUUAUGUUUGUUUCUAAAGCUUAACCAAACUUUAUUUAUGAAAAAGACUUGUGUGUUGUCAUUUUUGGUUGAAUUUCCUAUUAAAGAAUUAACUUCAUAUAAAUGGAAGUCAGCCCACUCUUCACCUUUCAUUCAGAAAGUUUUUUUUUUUUAAUUGUGAAAGAAUAAGUAGAUUGUCAAUUGUGUCUGUUUCACUGAUGGGUUAAAAUGUGACAAGUGUAUGAGGAAUGAAAGUGUCCAUUAAAAUAAUAUUGAGUGCUUUUUACAA
Non-coding RNA from Paramisgurnus dabryanus, 4096 nucleotides. NCBI's taxonomy places the organism in Eukaryota, Metazoa, Chordata, Actinopteri, Cypriniformes, Cobitidae. The record is from RefSeq and is a predicted model, not a curated record.